GGGGACACAGGCACGUUGGACUGCGCGGUCUUGAAAACCGUCGUGGCGGCAACGUCACCGUGGGUUCAAAUCCCACAGCCUCCG
RNAcentral lists this transfer RNA (84 nucleotides) under Streptomyces lonarensis. Its description in RNAcentral is "tRNA-Ser". Lineage: Bacteria; Bacillati; Actinomycetota; Actinomycetes; Kitasatosporales; Streptomycetaceae. The record is from RNAcentral.